RNAcentral lists this ribosomal RNA (808 nucleotides) under uncultured archaeon. RNAcentral describes it as "bacterial SSU rRNA". It matches the Rfam family "Archaeal small subunit ribosomal RNA", at positions 85 to 879 of the family's 1478-position model. The record is from RNAcentral.
ACGGCUCAGUAACACGUGGACAAUCUGACUUAGGGAGGGGGAUAACCUCGGGAAACUGAGGACAAACCUCCAUAGGCGUCAAGUACUGGAAUGUCUGACGCCGAAAUGUGAAGGCCUGUAUUCGGCUCAAUGCCCUAAGAGGAGUCUGCGCCGGAUUAGCCUGACGGUAGGGUAACGGCCUACCGUAGCUACGAUCUGUACCGGCAUUGGGAGAUGGAGCCGGGAGAUGGACACUGAGACAAAGGUCCAGGUUCUACGGAGCGCAGCAGUCGCGAAACCUUCGCAAUGCGCGCAAGCGUGACGAGGGGACCCCAAGUGCGCAUGUACAACAUGCGCUUUUACGAAGUGUAGGUAGCUUCGGGAAUAAGGGCUGGGUAAGACUGGUGCCAGCCUCCGCGGUAACACCAGCAGCUCAAGUGGUGAUCGCGUUUACUGGGUUUAAGGCGUGCGUAGUCGGUUCGGCAAGUCUUCUGUGAAAUCCUGCGGCUUAACCGCAGGGAUUGCAGAAAAUACUACCGGGCUUGAGGCCGGGGUAGGUGUGGGGUAUUCUUGGGGUAGCGGUGAAAUGCUAUAAUCCCUGGAGGACCACCCGUAGCGAAGGCGCCACACUGGAACGGGCCUGACGAUGAGGUACGAGAGCUAGGGGAGCAAACAGGAUUAGAUACCCUGGCAGUCCUAGCCGUAAACGAUGUGGGUUUAGUGUCCCCUAAACCUCGUGUUUGGGGGGUGCUGAAGGGAAACCGUUAAACCCACCACCUGGGGAGUACGGUCGCAAGGCUGAAACUUAAAGGAAUUGGCGGGGGAGCAC